This 906-nucleotide ribosomal RNA is filed under the name uncultured bacterium. RNAcentral describes it as "bacterial SSU rRNA". It matches the Rfam family "Bacterial small subunit ribosomal RNA", at positions 8 to 916 of the family's 1533-position model. The record is from RNAcentral.
AGAGUUUGAUCCUGGCUCAGGAUGAACGCUGGCGGCGUGCUUAACACAUUGCAAGUCGAACGGAGCGAUGACACGGAGUCUUCGGAUGAAGUGUUAUGGCUUAGUGGCGGACGGGUGAGUAACACGUGAGCAACCUACCUUUUGCAGGGGAAUAACUCUGGGAAACCAGGGCUAAUACCGCAUGUCGUGCACAUGGGGCAUCCCAGGUGCAUGAAAGGAGCAAUCCGGCAGAAGAUGGGCUCGCGUCUGAUUAGCUAGUUGGUGAGGUAAUGGCUCACCAAGGCAACGAUCAGUAGCCGACCUGAGAGGGUGAUCGGCCACACUGGAACUGAGACACGGUCCAGACUCCUACGGGAGGCAGCAGUGGGGAAUAUUGCACAAUGGGCGAAAGCCUGAUGCAGCAACGCCGCGUGAGCGAUGAAGGCCUUCGGGUCGUAAAGCUCUGUCCUCAAGGAAGAUAAUGACGGUACUUGAGGAGGAAGCCCCGGCUAACUACGUGCCAGCAGCCGCGGUAAUACGUAGGGGGCUAGCGUUAUCCGGAAUUACUGGGCGUAAAGGGUGCGUAGGCGGUCUUUCAAGCCAGAAGUGAAAGGCUACGGCUCAACCGUAGUAAGCUUUUGGAACUGUAAGACUUGAGUGCAGGAGAGGAGAGUGGAAUUCCUAGUGUAGCGGUGAAAUGCGUAGAUAUUAGGAGGAACACCAGUAGCGAAGGCGGCUCUCUGGACUGUAACUGACGCUGAGGCACGAAAGCGUGGGGAGCAAACAGGAUUAGAUACCCUGGUAGUCCACGCCGUAAACGAUGAGUACUAGGUGUCGGGGGUUACCCCCCUCGGUGCCGCAGCUAACGCAUUAAGUACUCCGCCUGGGAAGUACGCUCGCAAGAGUGAAACUCAAAUGAAUUGACGG